AUUGAACGCUGGCGGCAGGCCUAACACAUGCAAGUCGAGCGGAUGAAGGGAGCUUGCGCCUGGAGUCAGCGGCGGACGGGUGAGUAAUGCCUAUGAAUCUGCCUGGUAGUGGUGGAGGACGACUUCAAACGGGCGCUAAUACCGCAUACGUCCUGAGGGAGCAAGUGGGGGAGCUUCGGACCUCACGCUAUCAGAUGAGCCUAGGUCGGAUUAGCUAGUUGGUGGGGGAAGGGGCUACCAAGGCGACGAUCCGUAACUGGUCUGAGAGGAUGAUCAGUCGCCCUGGAGCGUAGCCACGGUCAAGACUCCUAAGGGACGCAGCAGUCUGGUACAUUGGACAGUGGGCGAAAGCAUGAUCCAGUCAUGGCGAGUGUGUGAAGACGGUCUCCCGAUCGUAAUGCACGUCAAGUUGGGGGGAACGGCAGUAAGUUAAUACCUAGCUGUUUUGACGGUACCAGGUGAAUAAGCACCGGCUAACUUCGUG
This 484-nucleotide ribosomal RNA is filed under the name uncultured bacterium. RNAcentral describes it as "partial 16S ribosomal RNA". It matches the Rfam family "Bacterial small subunit ribosomal RNA", at positions 30 to 507 of the family's 1533-position model. The record is from RNAcentral.